RNAcentral lists this ribosomal RNA (545 nucleotides) under Enterobacter kobei. Its description in RNAcentral is "bacterial SSU rRNA". It matches the Rfam family "Bacterial small subunit ribosomal RNA", at positions 78 to 621 of the family's 1533-position model. The record is from RNAcentral. Lineage: Bacteria; Pseudomonadati; Pseudomonadota; Gammaproteobacteria; Enterobacterales; Enterobacteriaceae.
GCUUGCUCUGGUGACGAGCGGCGGACGGGUGAGUAAUGUCUGGGAAACUGCCUGAUGGAGGGGGAUAACUACUGGAAACGGUAGCUAAUACCGCAUAAGUCGCAAGACCAAAGAGGGGGACCUUCGGGCCUCUUGCCAUCAGAUGUGCCCAGAUGGGAUUAGCUAGUAGGUGGGGUAACGGCUCACCUAGGCGACGAUCCCUAGCUGGUCUGAGAGGAUGACCAGCCACACUGGAACUGAGACACGGUCCAGACUCUACGGGAGGCAGCAGUGGGGAAUAUUGCACAAUGGGCGCAAGCCUGAUGCAGCCAUGCCGCGUGUAUGAAGAAGGCCUUCGGGUUGUAAAGUACUUUCAGCGGGGAGGAAGGUGUUGAGGUUAAUAACCUCAGCAAUUGACGUUACCCGCAGAAGAAGCACCGGCUAACUCCGUGCCAGCAGCCGCGGUAAUACGGAGGGUGCAAGCGUUAAUCGGAAUUACUGGGCGUAAAGCGCACGCAGGCGGUCUGUCAAGUCGGAUGUGAAAUCCCCGGGCUCAACCUGGGAAC